UAUUUUAAGAUUUUUUCAAAAAAUCGCUCAUUAAGAUUUUUAAAAUAAAAUUUGCAAAACGACUGAACAUCCCUAUUAUACCAUUUCGUGCAUACACCCUUUUGGUUUCAAAUCGACGAAUCCAUCAAAUCAACUGACAGCAUAGAUUCGCUCGAACGAAAACAGCGAAUGUCAUGAAAAAAAAUAAACAUUGUAGUGCACCGACUAUCGUCGUUCUGUCGCCGGCUAUUAUUUUUGUUAAACUAAACAAAAAAACAAGUGGAAAUUUGAGAUCUCAGUAUCGAAAUACCAUGGUUUUUUGGAAGGACAUCAUGCAUUACCUGUUUUCACUUGUUGCAAACCUACAAUAUUUAGGAUGGACGAGCUCAGCAUUGCCAACAGCUUGGGUACCACCUCGCAGAAUCGCAAGAGAGAGUAGUUUUCAAGGAAAUGGAGUACUCUGAACCAGUGUUACUGAAGAGCUAGCAUCAGUGAUGGUUUUCAAAACUACGCAGGUAUCAGGACAAGGAUCGAGUUUGACUGUUGUGGGCAACCCAAGAUAGGGGAAGAUGUUAUGUAAAAUUAUCCUAUUGAAUUUCAAAUUUUGAUCACAAUGAUGAACAUACAUACAUUGAGAAACAGAAAAUUGCA
Molecule: long non-coding RNA, 630 nt
Filed under: Aedes aegypti (yellow fever mosquito)
Lineage: Eukaryota; Metazoa; Arthropoda; Insecta; Diptera; Culicidae
Description: lncRNA AAEL027042
Source: RNAcentral